CCUACGGGAGGCUGCAGUGGGGAAUAUUGCACAAUGGGCGCAAGCCUGAUGCAGCCAUGCCGCGUGUGUGAAGAAGGCCUUCGGGUUGUAAAGCACUUUCAGCGGGGAGGAAGGCGUUAAGGUUAAUAACCUUGUCGAUUGACGCUACCCGCAGAAGAAGCACCGGCUAACUCCGUGCCAGCAGCCGCGGUAAUACGGAGGGUGCAAGCGUUAAUCGGAAUUACUGGGCGUAAAGCGCACGCAGGCGGUCUGUCAAGUCGGAUGUGAAAUCCCCGGGCUCAACCUGGGAACUGCAUUCGAAACUGGCAGGCUAGAGUCUUGUAGAGGGGGGUAGAAUUCCAGGUGUAGCGGUGAAAUGCGUAGAGAUCUGGAGGAAUACCGGUGGCGAAGGCGGCCCCCUGGACAAAGACUGACGCUCAGGUGCGAAAGCGUGGGGAGCAAACAGGAUUAGAUACCCGGGUAGUC
This 465-nucleotide ribosomal RNA is filed under the name uncultured Klebsiella sp. RNAcentral's name for it is "bacterial SSU rRNA". It matches the Rfam family "Bacterial small subunit ribosomal RNA", at positions 338 to 795 of the family's 1533-position model. Lineage: Bacteria; Pseudomonadati; Pseudomonadota; Gammaproteobacteria; Enterobacterales; Enterobacteriaceae. The record is from RNAcentral.